Carassius carassius (crucian carp) is the source of this 535-nucleotide long non-coding RNA. RefSeq lists it as uncharacterized. The record is from RefSeq and is a predicted model, not a curated record. Lineage: Eukaryota; Metazoa; Chordata; Actinopteri; Cypriniformes; Cyprinidae. The transcript has 3 exons.
CUUAAACUGAACUUCCUGAUUCUGUCAUGGCAAAUUUACAGACCAGGAUUCUUCAUCUGGAUCUCUGUGUCGUUAGUAUUCUCCUGAUUCAAGCAGAUUAUUCCAGAUCUAAUAAAGAGCAAAAGAUUCAGCAGCACAUCAACAAAACAGUGUUUGUGGGGGAAACAGUUACACUCCACUGCAACAAAACCCAGUUUGAUGAUGAUUUAAUUUGGAAAAUGAACAACUCUGUUAUUUUUAGUCAUAACUCUAACAGUAACAGAACAAUGAGAAACUUGAGCUCAAACAGGAUUCACAUCGCCCCCGCAGCUCCAAGAGAAUUAACAAUAGAUCAAAUACAAGCGUCUGAUGCAGGAAACUAGCUAGCUGUUACCCAGCAGCAAUGAGAUGGACAUUAACAGUAACAGAAAACCAGAUCAGACCAGAAUUAUUCAAACAAAUGCCGCUGUACAUCAUCAUCAUCAUCAUCAUCUAUUGUUCUGGAGUCAUUAUGAUCUGUCUGUUCAUCAGCAUCAGCAUCUGCAUUCACAGGUAA